RNAcentral lists this ribosomal RNA (226 nucleotides) under Escherichia coli. Its description in RNAcentral is "partial 16S ribosomal RNA". It matches the Rfam family "Bacterial small subunit ribosomal RNA", at positions 1 to 221 of the family's 1533-position model. The record is from RNAcentral. Lineage: Bacteria; Pseudomonadati; Pseudomonadota; Gammaproteobacteria; Enterobacterales; Enterobacteriaceae.
UUAAAUUGAAGAGUUUGAUCAUGGCUCAGAUUGAACGCUGGCGGCAGGCCUAACACAUGCAAGUCGAACGGUAACAGGAAACAGCUUGCUGUUUCGCUGACGAGUGGCGGACGGGUGAGUAAUGUCUGGGAAACUGCCUGAUGGAGGGGGAUAACUACUGGAAACGGUAGCUAAUACCGCAUAACGUCGCAAGACCAAAGAGGGGGACCUUCGGGCCUCUUGCCAU